UAGCAACUAAUGUGUUAGGCGUAUGCACACACGACCUCAAAUUCGUAUAUGUGUUAUCCGGUUGGAAAGGAUCAGCUACUGAUUCGAGAGUUCUUGGUGACGCUGUUACUAGAGCUAAUGGCCUCAAGGUCCCAACUGGUACAUAUUAUUUGGUUGAUUCCGGAUAUACGAAUGGUGAGGGUUUUCUGGCACCAUAUAGAGGCACUAGAUAUCAUUUGCAAGAGUGGGAAGACAAUUCACGUGCACCUAGGAAUCAUGAAGAAUAUUUUAAUAUGAAACACUCACGUGCUAGGAAUGUCAUUGAGAGAUGUUUUGGCCUCCUCAAACGACGUUAGGCUAUCUUACGAAGUCCUUCCCACUAUCCAAUCAAGAUUCAGGGACGAAUGAUCACCACAUGUAAUUUACUUCAUAAUUUUAUCAGAAUGUAUAUGGCAGUUGAUCCUGAAGAAAAUGCAAGGCUUGCAUUUGAUGAAUUACCUAUAGGGGAAGAUUUACCAGAAGUAUUAGCCUACAUUGAAACCGUUGAGUCAAGCCAAAUAUGGACUCAAUGGAGGGAUGAUCUUGCAAGAGAAAUAUAUGAUGAGUAGAGAGGAAGGAGGGCUUGAAAAUUGGUUAACAUGGUAGUUGUUGUAAUUGUCCUUUAGAUGUGGACUCAAUGUAGUUGUUGUAAUUGGCUUGAAAAUUCGUAACAUCAAGACUAUUGAGAUGUUUGUUAUUGUAAUAUGGUAAUUGGGAGUUAUCUAGAUGUUAUGGCUUAUUUGAUAUGUUUAUUUGUGUUACUAAAUUUUAAUAAAUUUUAAAAUUAGGGUGUA
Molecule: long non-coding RNA, 812 nt
Organism: Pyrus x bretschneideri (Chinese white pear)
Lineage: Eukaryota; Viridiplantae; Streptophyta; Magnoliopsida; Rosales; Rosaceae
Exons: 2
Source: RefSeq, a predicted model, not a curated record